UCUCUGCCUACAGCUGUUGUGCUGACAGAAUGAUCCCUCGGGCCCAUCUUCUCUGGCUACUGGUGCUCUGGGCACAGGGUUCCCAAGGCAAGAUUGUGAUGACACAGUCUCCAUCCUCUCUGUCUGCACGUCCAGGAGAGAGAGUCACCAUAAACUGCAAGGCCAGUGAGAGUAUUACAGACAGUUUUGGUGACGACCUCUUAUACUGGUACCAGCAUAAACCUGGCCAAGCCCCCAGGAACCUCAUCUACUGGGCUACCAAGCUGGCAUCUGGAGUGCCAGCCCGGUUCAGUGGCAGCAGGUCUGGGACAGAUUUCACUCUCAGGAUCAGCAGCAUGGAGCCUGAGGAUGCUGCAGUCUAUUACUGUCAGCAGGGUUAUAAGGAACCUCCCACAGUGAUAUAUUCUCAAACAAAAACCUCUCAAGGCUCAGGCCAAAUGAGCAGUGAAGCUCCAGCACCCCAGCUACUUCCCCUUCCUCAGAAGGUGCUGUGGGGGCUGCUCAAAGGCAGCCUCUCUACCUCUCUUUGGCAUUCAUUGAGUCUUCCUAGGCUGUCCAGUGUUCCCUGCGAAGAGACACACCAGAAGAAAAGACUGGAGACAUUCUGGCUCAGAAGCAAUUUGGCUGUUCUCCCUGUAUAA
Monodelphis domestica (gray short-tailed opossum) is the source of this 641-nucleotide non-coding RNA. The record is from the annotation of a RefSeq genome assembly. NCBI's taxonomy places the organism in Eukaryota, Metazoa, Chordata, Mammalia, Didelphimorphia, Didelphidae.